Molecule: long non-coding RNA, 422 nt
Organism: Echinops telfairi (small Madagascar hedgehog)
Lineage: Eukaryota; Metazoa; Chordata; Mammalia; Afrosoricida; Tenrecidae
Exons: 3
Source: RefSeq, a predicted model, not a curated record
GGUUGUGACUGCCCAGCAGUAGGAGAAUCCACGGAAGGAAGGAGGCAGAGGUUCGCGGAUUUGCGGAUUGCCAUUUCCAGGGACGGCCUUCACCAGAGACGGAGAUUUCUGAACAGAAAUUUAGAGCUGACCCAGAAGACACAAAGACAGAGCAUCCCCGUUGCUGGCCAUUUCCUGAAAACCAAAGAAAAUGAUGGAGCCGCAGGUGUCACUGAGAUUCAACGAUGUAGCUGUGACGUUUACAUGGGAAGAAUGGCAGUUCCUGGGCCCAGCUCAGAAGGACCUGUACCAGGACGUGAUGCUGGAGAACUACAGCAACCUGGUAUCAGUGGGGUACCGAGUUAGCAAACCAGAAGCACUGUCCCGGUUGGAACGAGGAGAACCACCGUGGAGGUUAGAAGACCAAAUCCAUAGUCGAACCU